RNAcentral lists this ribosomal RNA (488 nucleotides) under uncultured bacterium. Its description in RNAcentral is "partial 16S ribosomal RNA". It matches the Rfam family "Bacterial small subunit ribosomal RNA", at positions 28 to 507 of the family's 1533-position model. The record is from RNAcentral.
GAUGAACGCUGGCGGCGUGCCUAACACAUGCAAGUCGAACGGAAAGGCCCUGCGUUUGUGGGGUGCUCGAGUGCCGAAGGCGUGAGUAUCACGUGAGUAUCCUGCCCUUGUCUUUGGGGGAACAUCAGGAAACUGGGGCUAAUACAGGAUAGGAUCUCCUGCUCCGUGGUGGGCGUUGGAAAGUUUCGGCGUUUGGGGAUGGACUUGCGGCUUACGAGCUUGUUGGUGGGGUAGGUGGCUACCAAGCCUUUGACGGCUACCCGGCCUGAGAGAGUGAUCGGCCACACGGGAGCUGAGACACGGACAAGAGGCCUACGGGAGGCAGCAGUAGGGAAUGUUAGGCAGUGGGCGAGAGCCUGACACAGCGAGGCCGCGUGUGUGAUGAAGGCCUCCGGUGCGGAAAGCCGUCUUUUUGGUGAAGAACAGCUGUCGACUGAGACGAAGCGUUAGUGACGGUACCGAAUAAAGAAGCACCGGCUAACUACGUG